RNAcentral lists this ribosomal RNA (466 nucleotides) under uncultured bacterium. RNAcentral's name for it is "partial 16S ribosomal RNA". It matches the Rfam family "Bacterial small subunit ribosomal RNA", at positions 28 to 507 of the family's 1533-position model. The record is from RNAcentral.
GAUGAACGCUGGCGGCGUGCUUAACACAUGCAAGUCGAACGGAAAGGCCCAAGCUUGCUUGGGUACUCGAGUGGCGAACGGGUGAGUAACACGUGGGUGAUCUGCCCUGCACUUCGGGAUAAGCCUGGGAAACUGGGUCUAAUACCGGAUAGGACCACAUUUUGGAUGGUGUGGUGGAAAGUUUUUCGGUGUGGGAUGAGCUCGCGGCCUAUCAGCUUGUUGGUGGGGUAAAGGCCUACCAAGGCGUCGACGGGUAGCCGGCCUGUGAGGGUGUACGGCCACAUUGGGACUGAGAUACGGCCCAGACUCCUACGGGGGGCAGCAGGGGGGAAUAUUGCACAAUGGGCGCAAGCCUGAUGCAGCGACGCCGCGUGGGGGAUGACGGCCUUCGGGUUGUAAACUCCUUUCGCUAGGGACGAAGCGUUAUGUGACGGUACCUGGAGAAGAAGCACCGGCUAACUACGUG